AUUUGGAAUCUGAUGCUUGUAUGAUGGAAGCUAGAUUUGGUGUACAUAAUUUGUAUUUGCCAAUAGUUGUUUGUAUAGUAGGCACAGGGAAGCUCUGGAAGGAAUCAGAGGUUUGUAUAUUAAAUUUUUAGAUGUUUUUUUAACACGUUUUGAAAGAAUGGCAUUUCUCAACUGAAUACUUUUGCCAAAGUGUAGAUUGAUUUACCCAUUUAUUGGUCCAUGUCUGGAUAAAAUUAAUUCUAUUCCACCAAAAAGUAGCAGCUGAGAUGGUAUAUUCAACCACAUAACAUUUAUCUUAAGCUAAAAAAAAAUAAAGACAAAAAUUAAAAGCAUGCAUUUAGUUUGAGAAUUAAGUGGAAUAUCUAUUCUAAUUUGAAUCAGGAGGAGCAAUAUUAAUAUAUGUAUUUUAUUAAAUGGAGGAUUAAACUAAACAUUUUAAGCAUAAAUAUAUAAAUGUAUUAUUUCAUAUUUUGCAAGAUGAUAUUACUCGAUUUUAGUUCAAAUUUUGAGAAAUUAAUCAUUGUUUGCUCCUUUUAAAUAAUUUAUUGUAUUUAAAAUACUAAGUAGAAACAACUACAACGAAUUUAGUAAAAAUAAUUGAUGUAAUUUCUAAACUAAAAAUAUAUUUUAUUUUAGGUGAGUCUAAUGAUAAAGAAGCAGCCAGAAUUAGCAACUGUUAUCAAAAUGCAGAAAGAGACUCCUGAUGUAUAUGACGAAGUCUUGACAGCUGUUAAAAAUUACCUACUACAACCUGAGACAGAUAGACAGAAAAAAGUCAGAGAAAAGCUGGAGAAAGCAAAAACAAAACUCAAGAAGAAGGGAAACUUAGAGGAAAAAUUAAAGCAACAAGGAGAUACAAAUUUGUCCUUUCAGGUGUGUCUAUUUAUAUAUGAAAUAUGUUUAUCUUUAAUGAUAUUUCUUGCUUCAGUGCUGGUAAUAGCCCACUUGACUGAAACUAGUUAUUGAGAUACCCCCCAAGGGUGACUGGGGAAACAAAAUAUGGUCACUUGGUCUUCUUUCGAAUGGUAGGGAAAAGCUUUCCAAAGUGCGGUGUCCGUUUGGCUGUGUGGGAUGUAUCAAGUUUGCGGCCACAUUCAGUUAGAAUGGGGACGUUAAAUCCGAUGCCUUGGGUAAAGAGAGUGCCACACUCUUUGCAUGUUAAGAACCCUUGCAAAAACUCUGAGGGUUCUGUAGGUGACCUGUUGCAAGGCAAAAUUUCUGUCCCUAUCCAAUAUACCCUCAUUUUCCAGUGACAGUCAAUCAUCCUGGUUGGCAUCUAUUAUUACAAGACCUACCUAUUGUAUUUAUUGUUAACUUAUUCUCGUCCUGAACAUUCAUGAAGUAUUUGCCACUGGACGUUAAUCAACAAACAAUCGAUCAAAAAGUUAUUGAGAUAUUACCAUCACUUGAUGUUCCUCGUCUGAUGUUGUUCUGUUCUGUUAUACAAUUUAACAUUUAUGAAAAUCUUCUCUAUCACAUAAUUUAUAUUCAUUAUUUCAUUAUAAAAAUGUGUAUUUUUGUCUUAUAGGAAGAGGUAGAACUUAUACAGAGAAAGUUCAUGAGAUAUGUAACAAAGUUAUCAAUGAUGGAAGACACGUACAUUCCACGACUAUUGGUUGUUGAUUUACAUGACAAAAAACAUUGUAAGAAUUUACACAAAAUAUGGGUUGUCCUAUCUAUCAUUUAAACUGAGUAGUUAUUUUAGAAAGAACUUGUUUAAUAUCUAAAGAACUAAAGUUUAAACUACAGUCAUGAAACUAGGCAGGUAUGAUGUAUCACCUUUAAGGGGAGAAAAAUAGUAGGUUACUGCAACCCUCCAUAUUAAGCUUUGCUGAAUUUUGUCAAAUUUUCAUCAGAGUUGAUUUCUUUAACAUAUUUGUACUUGCAGUCACAAAAUCAAAUAGAUUCAUUUUGUGAAAAAGUAAACUCAAAUCCAUCAAUUGUAAUCAUUUCUUUCUGCUUUGUAUGUUUGAUUAGAUUUAAGUUCUAAUCAUAUUUCCAAUUUUUUCAGCAACAAAUUCACUUAUGGACAAUUUACAGGUAAGAAUUAUUUUUCAUAGGUUUAAAAUUUUCCUUUGUAUGGAAGGCCAUGAGACUGCUAAAGGUAAUUAGUGGCCUUUAGUUGUGGUCUCUUUGACAUAUGGACCAUAAUUUGGUAUUCGGCCUUUGGUUUCUUUUUGUAUCCUUUUUUAUAAGUUCUAAAACUUUAACUUUAUUCUGUGGGUUGUGUUGAUGUUAGAAUAGUAUUAAUGGAACAAUUGAGUUUUUCGAGAAAAAAUUAAUACAUUUUGAUUCACCGUUUACGUGACAGGAAACAAAACAGGAAACCAAUUUUUAUUUCUUUAUUUUGCACAAUAUAUUUCAAAGACAUAAAUGAACACCAUUACAGUGUUACUUGCUUCAUGUUAAUAUUUAAAUCUAUUUGCAAUGUUAAAUUAAGUUUUUUUUAAACGCGACAGGAAACCAUAAGAAACCGAAAGCAUUUUUUUAGUUUUAUUUAUUGCAAAAUCUGCUUAAAAAUGAUCUGAACAGUAUACUUUUUCUUAAAAUCCAUCUUAAAUGUAACAGUUAUUAAAACAUCCUAAUAUGUGCUUGUUUUGAAAACAAUUAGUACAAAUUUAUUCAGGAAUUUCCGUAUUUUCUUCAUUGAUACAGGAUACCAUAAUCGUUGUAUCUUGAUGUUUUAGCCAAAAAAUGUUAUUUAUAUUUGGUUUUGAAAUUCCAGUUAUAUACAAUUUAUUCCAAAUCAUUGGUAAUGUAAAAUUCUUUAAAUCCAGUAAAGAAAAACAACUUUUACUUGGAAUUAGCAUCUUUUAAAAUAGCACCAUUGAUAUUUGUGACCUUUGAACAUGGUUUCCACAUUUUAACUACUUUAGUGGGUAAAAUCAAUAAAAUUUCUUUCAAGUUAUCAUGGUAAAUUACUUUUCUUUGACAAGUUUUUGCUUUUGAUAGUUUUCAGAACAUGAAUAAAAAAUUAAUUAAAAUUGUGACAAAGAUACAACUUUGUACAUUCUGUAACGGUACAUUAACAUGUAUUUUUUAUUAAAUUAUCUUAUUCACCUAAAUAUCGUAAUAUUUACUGCUGAGCCUAAACAUCAACGAACAUCGGCACCAUGAUAGGAGACGUAAUUUCGAUGAAUUUUCCAAGGACCCUUUACAUCGUUAUUGGGAAAGAAGUGUGUUUAAAAGUCGUCAAAUCUGAAAUUGAUUUGUAAGUUUGGGCAUUUAUUUCACACAAGAUCGUAUGUAACAUUAUGCACAUAAGUGAAUAGGAAAAAUAAUGACCCCGCGAACUUUGAAAAUUUAUUUUCUUUUUUACAAGACGAAACAAGCUACAGAUUAGUUUGCUUACUCGUUGGAAACAAAUACAAUGUUUAGACCUAGUAUUUCGUAUAUCAAGGGCGUGAUACAUGUUAGUCCAUGUUUCACGUAUGACGGAAAUGAUUAGAACUAACGACAAAAACAAUUUUAAUAAAUAAAUGGCUUCUGUUCGUGAAAAUGUAACGCAUAACGAUAACGUCAUUUUCAAACUUAAUUAUACGAAGAACAAAACAAGCAUGUAAUCAUCUCUGAUUACCUGUUUGAAAUCUCCCAGAGUUCGUAUUUGACAUUGUUGCAAAGAAUUCUUUUACACAAAGCAGAUUAAACAUUAAAAUGUGCGUUACGAAAUGGGAACAAAUAACGACUGUUCUUAACCUGCUACAGAAUCUUAUAGUUCUUGGAUUUUCUUCUACUAUUCUUAUUGUCGAUGUUUUGUUAUUUUAAAGCAAAAUUACGAAUUCCGUACGAUUAUUAUAAAUUAUCAGCGUUAUGCACUCGGGACCGAAAAGUAACGGAGAAACGACACACAAAUAGGUCUAUAAUCUUUGAUUUGUUAAUUUCAAUUUUUUUCUAGAAGAGUAGCAUACCUUGUAUUUGAUAAAAAUAAUGGAUCUUAGAUGUAGUUACAACUUUUCUUACGUAAUUACAUUUUAUUACUUUCUAUGUUAUAGGGAAGGAGCCAAUAGCAAAUUAUAUUCCUCAUUUCCAUUCUCUUUUAUUUGGUUUGAAACAAACCAAAUUUGCAUGGUUUAAAUACUUUCACAGUUUAUUCAUUUUGUAAAGAGACCAUCAUUCAAGUUUUUUGGUUAUAAUAAUCCUUACAUAAUGUAUUUAUUGUACUUUAAAUGGAAAGAAGAAAUACAAAUAGCAUAUCAUAUUAGUUUAAAGGUUUAGGCCAAAAGAAGUCAGAAAAUAGUUAGGGUCGAUUUAGGGGUAGCACAUAUUUACAUUAAAAAUCAUACUAGCUAUAGGGAAUAAAUUGUGUCUAAUUCAUAUUUCUAUAUCAAGUUACAUGAUACAAAUCUGAGACAAAAGGACUCUUUAGUUCAACUUUUUGAGACAGUAUGGUCAAAUGCAAAGAUUUUUCAAUUUUAGUGAAAAACUUGCAUGCAAUUUUAGCCAAACAGGCUUAUAUUUGAAUCACUUGCUAUCCUACAGAAGAAAUGAGACGGGUAAAAAGAUUAUAAGGCUUUUAUAAUUUUGAAAUCUUCAAUAUGGACUUACUUUUAUGUCCAAUUCACAUUUACUUGAUCCAAACAGGGCAUUAGACAAGGGUCAUUUAUACAGACAUUUUGCACACAUAUCUGAAAUUAUCUUCUUUUCUGUAAUAUUCAGAGUUCACAUAUGAGUUAUACAUUGGAUUUAUAAGCAUAAAACACAAAUAUUGAACAUGAAAAAUUGUCAGUAGCAAGUUAGAAUGCACUUAUGCAUCAAAAUUGAAAAAGCUUUGAAAUGCUCAUUUUGACCAUGUAAUGCCAAAAUGGGAAUUUUUUGCAGAUUUCUAUCAAAUAAAAGUUUAAAUCCUUUAGUUUAAUGCUUUUUGACACAUAGGCACCAUUGAAUCAUUCAGGGAAGUUGCCUAAGUACAGAUUCUAUAUUUCAUGAUUCACCUUUUAGUCGAGUAACAGUAUUUCGUAGUGCAUUUCUUUUAGACAAUAAAUGGAAAUAAAAAAAAAUCCCACCUUUCGCUUUCUCCAUAAUAUUUUUACAGUGUGUUGUACUACUUUUGGGACAAAUUAUAUCAAAAUUAUAGAAAACUUCAUCAGCUCUAACUCAAAAUAUGACAAUUUUAUGUGAAGGGGGUCUUGAAAUUUUGACAGCUUCCGAAAUGCUAAUUUUUGACUUUUUCAACUGGACCAAUUCACUACUUUACAUUAUAUCAUGAAUCAAUUUUUUUUAAGUGUCGUUUAUCACCCUUCUGCUACUUGAGGCAUAAAAAUAAUAAAUAAUUGGAAGGGUAUAAAAAAAAUGACAAGUAACACACUGUCCACACUAAGACUAUAUUCAUGAACAAUGAAAAUCAAGGGACGAUAACUGUGUUCUGACCUUAUGUCCUCAAACACAAUCUACUUUUAUAUGUGUCUUUGUUCAAUUAUAGAAUAAAUUCAAGAAAACCUCAAUUAAACUAAAACAUUGUCAUUUUCAAGUUGUAAUUUGUCUAACAAAAAAUAUUUGAAUAGAAAGAAUGCUAAAAGGUUAGAUAAAUUGACAAAUAAAAACUUGAAAAUGACAAUGUUUUAAUAAAAUUUAGACCACUACAUCAAAUCAAUUGAUGCUACUAGAAAUAAAGCUUGCAAGUAUUUUUAUCAUGCACAUUCUUGUUUUAUAUAGCAGUAUGGAAAUCCAGUAUAUAUUGAUAUGGUGUUGAAAGCCAUUGAUGAAGCAUAUACUGGUGACAAGGCCAAGGCUAAGGUUAGUCAACUAGGGUUUAAAACUAAAAAUUACACAUUUUAGAGAGGUGACUGAUGGCAAGAAAGCUUAGUUAUCUUGAUAUAAAAAUAAGGAGAUGUGUUAUGAUUGCAAAUGAAAACACUAUCCAAUAAGGACCAUAGGAGGAGGUUAAAGACAUUGACAAGUCACUAUACAGCCUUCAACAAUAAACGACAUGUCAUGACAAAUAUGAGAAAGAGAAAACCAAAGUUGAUUUAUUCUUAAAACAAUUAUGGCAGACAGCAACCCAGGACAACCACUAAAAAGCAGGCACACAAAAUAUAGUUUUUCUCACAAAAUUUAAUUAAACUAUGCCACAAUCAUUAAUGGGGUAUCUAGUUUCAAAAGUGUGAAAAUUUACCCUGCUUGCUGAGUGCUGACCAAGACGGCUGGCAUAGAUAAGAAAAAAGAACAUUGAGGGUAAACUGCAAUUUUAGUUGAUAAUCUUGAAAACCACUAUAAAUAGAGAAAAAUCUGACGGAGGCAAACAUUUUGAGAUCUACCUGCUGUUUACUUAUGUCAAAAUUGUCAGACGACUCAUAUAGAAGUUAUUGCUCUUAAAUUUCAAUUUCUAUCUAUUUUUUUCAUUUUAGGAUAUUAUUUUUAAUUAUAAUAAUUUCAAAGAAACUUUAAUAAUAUCCAUAUGAAAACUGACAUUGAUAAUACCUGAAUAGCUAUUUCUUGUUUCACUGACAACUUGACAUAUACAAUGUAUAACUAUUUAUAAAGGUUAGAGCUAAUUUUUCUAAUGAUUGAAGAGUUAGACUUCGGUUGGCUUGCUUGCUUUGUUUGUAUUGGCAUUUGCAAACAAUAUAUAAGAAGGUAGAGUUAAACCAGUACACAUUAUACUUAAAUUUGAUUGGAUGCUAUUCUGGAGGCUAGGAAUCUAAAUAUAAUGUAUGCAGGUUGAACUCUGCUUAUGGUAUUCAUUUUGUUUGCAGAUGUCUAUCUUAAUUGCAAUGUUUGACAAAAGGUCAUCCUCUGCAAAGACUGAAAAGACACACAUAAAUAUCUGUAAUCCCUAAAUUGCCUAAUUUUGUCAUUAGAAAUAAACAUUCUUUAUUGUUUGGUAAAUUGAAAGUUUAACUGUAGAUUAUGCAUGCCAUGCUUAUUGACUAUAAAGUAAGUAGAAAGAAUCAAAUUUUUGUUCCAUGAUUAUUAUAACAUCAUUUAUUCCUCUGGGGUUUAUGUCCAGCUUAGGAGCAUUAUGUUUUUUGGUCUGUGUGCCAUUUGUCUGUCCGUCUGUCCCAUUUUCUGUCAAGUUUUUGGGCAAGGUAGUUUUUGAUGAAGUUGAAGUCCAAUCAACUUGAAACUAAGUACACAUGUUCCUUGGUAUGAUAUGAUCUUUCUAAUUUUAAUGCCAAAUAACAGUUUUGACCUCCAUUUCACAGUCCAUUGAACAUAGAAAAAGAUGGUGUGAAUGGGGCAUAUUUGUACUAUGGACACAUUCUUGUUCCCACUAUUUUGAAUAUCAAAUCCCUAAUUUUUCCUUUUUGCCUUACAGGAAGAAAUUGAAAAAAUACAAUGCACAAUAACAGCUCUAGAAAAUGGUAGUGAGGAUAAUCUGCCUUCAGAGUUAAAAUGGGCUUUACAAUUGGUACACAUAGAGUCAAAAAAAUUAGAUGGGAA
Molecule: long non-coding RNA, 7380 nt
Filed under: Mytilus galloprovincialis (Mediterranean mussel)
Lineage: Eukaryota; Metazoa; Mollusca; Bivalvia; Mytilida; Mytilidae
Source: RNAcentral